AAGGAUUUAGCUCAGCAGCAAAGCAUCUGCUUGGCAAGCACAAAGUCUUGAGUUCAAUUCCUGGUAUCCUUC
RNAcentral lists this transfer RNA (72 nucleotides) under Cavia porcellus (domestic guinea pig). It matches the Rfam family "tRNA". From Rfam's summary of the family: Transfer RNA (tRNA) molecules are approximately 80 nucleotides in length. Their secondary structure includes four short double-helical elements and three loops (D, anti-codon, and T loops). Further hydrogen bonds mediate the characteristic L-shaped molecular structure. tRNAs have two regions of fundamental functional importance: the anti-codon, which is responsible for specific mRNA codon recognition, and the 3' end, to which the tRNAs corresponding amino acid is attached (by aminoacyl-tRNA synthetases). tRNAs cope with the degeneracy of the genetic code in two manners: having more than one tRNA (with a specific anti-codon) for a particular amino acid; and 'wobble' base-pairing, i.e. permitting non-standard base-pairing at the 3rd anti-codon position. The record is from Rfam by way of RNAcentral. Lineage: Eukaryota; Metazoa; Chordata; Mammalia; Rodentia; Caviidae.